Long non-coding RNA from Mytilus californianus (California mussel), 3149 nucleotides. RefSeq lists it as uncharacterized. Lineage: Eukaryota; Metazoa; Mollusca; Bivalvia; Mytilida; Mytilidae. The transcript is spliced from 7 exons. The record is from RefSeq and is a predicted model, not a curated record.
UGUAGUUUUGGACAUCUUUGGGGGAGGGAGGCUUGUGUUGGUGUGGGGUAUAAAAAAAAGUUAAAUCACAAAAAUACUGAACUCCGAGGAAAAUCCAAAACGGAAAGUCCCUAAUCAAAGGGCAAAAUCAAAAGCACAAACACAUCAAACGAAUGGACAACAACUGUCAUAUUCCUGACUUGUUACAGGCAAUUUCUUAUGUAGAAAAUGGUGGAUUGAACCUGGUUUUAUGUGAGCCUGAUUAAUGCUGUAGGGAACAAAUUAGCUGAAAGAUAUACAGAUUUCUGGAAAAAUAGUCUUUUUAAUGACCAAGUUAACCCUAAUGGAAACAAACUAAGAACAUACAGAAAAUAAAAAAAAUGAUUACAAAUUUGAAAAUUUUUUAUUAAUAGAUUUAGACUGAUACAUGAUAUCUAAUUUUAUUAAAAUCAGAAUAAGUAAUACUAAUAGUAAUCUAAAUAUUGUACAGGGUCAAGACACCGUAAAAUUACCUCUGGAAACAAGAUUUAUGUCCCCUCUGUAAAAAUGGGGUUGAAGAUGAAUAUCAUUUUGCUUAAAAAUGUCAAAUUUUAGAAAAACGUAGGCAAAAACUUUUUCAGGAAGUAGAUAGUAUAGGUCCAUCUUUCAACAAAAUGUCUGAUGAGGAAAAAUUUACAUUCAUGUUUACAUUUAAUGAGUACGACAUAACUAAAAUUAUUGUUAAGGGGUUAAUGAUUUAUAUGUACUAAGAAAUAGCCUAGCUGAUGAUUUAUAUGUACUAAGAAAUAGCCUAGCUGAUGAUUUAUAUGUACUAAGAAAUAGCCUGCUGACAAGAAAAACUAAUUAUGUAAUACAAAUUUGUGAUUAUUUUCUAUUUUUCAUAUAUAUUUGUUAUGUUAUAUUUUAUAAGAAUAGCAUUAAGAAUAUUGUAUUUUUACUUUCAAAUUUGCAAAAGUAUCACCUCCUCCAAAAUAUCUAAACAAACGAGAUACUUAUAUAAUAUGAAUGUUGCUUUAAUUUAAAUAUUGUAUAUUUGUAAAUAUUGUCAUGUUUGUCUUGGUAACAAUCCAAUAUUUGGAUUUUACACCAAUAAAAUGAUUUGAUUUGAUUUGAUUUGAUUUGUGAGCUUGCUAUAUUAAGGUUAAGUGUAGGUGUGUAUGAUAUAGAUAUGAGGUCCAUGCACUAGGUAUUAAUUUGUCGUUCUCUUUGUAUAGAUAUGAGGUCUAUAUACUAGGUAUUAAUCUGUUGUUCUCUUUGUAUAGAUAUGAGGUCCAUACACUAGGUAUUAAUCUGUUGUUCUCUUUGUAUAAAUAUGAGGUCCAUACACUAGGUAUUAAUCUGUCGUUCUCUCUUUGUAUAGAUAUGAGGUCCAUACACUAGGUAUUAAUCUGUUGUUCUCUCUUUGUAUAGAUAUGAGAUCCAUACACUAGGUAUUAAUCUGUUGUUCUCUUUGUAUAAAUAUGAGGUCCAUACACUAGGUAUUAAUCUGUCAUUCUCUUUGUAUAAAUAUGAGGUCCAUACACUAGGUAUUAAUCUGUCUUUCUCUCUUUGUAUAGAUAUGAGGUCCAUACACUAGGUAUUAAUCUGUUGUUCUCUUUGUAUAAAUAUGAGGUCCAUACACUAGGUAUUAAUCUGUCUUUCUCUUUGUAUAGAUAUGAGGUCUAUACACUAGGUAUUAAUCUGUCGUUCUCUUUGUAUAGAUAUGAGGUCUAUAUACUAGGUAUUAAUCUGUCGUUCUCUCUUUGUAUAGAUAUGAGGUCCAUACACUAGGUAUUAAUCUGUUGUUCUCUUUGUAUAAAUAUGAGGUCCAUACACUAGGUAUUAAUCUGUCGUUCUCUCUUUGUAUAGAUAUGAGGUCUAUAUACUAGGUAUUAAUCUGUCGUUCUCUUUGUAUAGAUAUGAGGUCCAUACACUAGGUAUUAAUCUGUCGUUCUCUCUUUGUAUAGAUAUGAGAUCCAUACACUAGGUAUUAAUCUGUUGUUCUCUUUGUAUAAAUAUGAGGUCCAUACACUAGGUAUUAAUCUGUCGUUCUCUUUGUAUAGAUAUGAGGUCCAUACACUAGGUUUUAAUCUGUCGUUCUCUUUGUAUAGAUAUGAGGUCCAUACACUAGGUAUUAAUCUGUCGUUCUCUUUGUAUAGAUAUGAGGUCUAUAUACUAGGUAUUAAUCUGUCGUUCUCUUUGUAUAAAUAUGAGGUCUAUAUACUAGGUAUUAAUCUGUCAUUCUCUUUGUAUAGAUAUGAGGUCCAUAUGCUAGGUGUUAAUCUCAUUCUCUUUGCAGAAAUUCUCUCAGGAUUUUCUCUUGGUCUACAGAUUUUUUUUGUCUCCUCUGAAAUGUAAUGGUUGCUUCAAAUGUUAAUGAAUUUGUAUGGGUUAAUUGUAUGUAUUCUGGGGGAUGUAGAGUAGUGGUUGAGUAUUUGUCAAUUUUUGCUUUUUGAUGCUUAUUUUUUGUUAACUUAUAUUGUUGGGUAGCUGUCUCAUUUAGUGUUCACUCCACAUCUUCUUUUAUUUUAUAUGUUUAUUUUCUUGUGAGUCUUGUGUAGGAAUUACAUUAAUUUAUUGAAAUAAAUGCACAAUUAUACCCCAAUGGAGUUGAUGGCAUACAUGAAAUUUAACAAAAUAAUACAGUACAUAAUACAUCACAAAAGUAAUAGAAUACAAGACAUGAAUUUUAUAUAUGUACAUAUUAUGCAGUUGUCGAAUCCACUCUCCUCGGUGACCAGGACUUUUUAAUAAAUGGAGAAAAAUUAACCGCAUAACUGAAGGACAUGAACUAGACAUAAAACUAAUUUAUCAAAGUUAUCCAUAUCAUCUAUAUUUGAAUAGAUAUUUUUAAUUUUCUGUAAGAAUUCAAGUCUCAAGUUUUCAUUUUGUGUACAUUUAAAUAAGAAAUGAUCUUCAUCAUCUAUUUUAUUUAAAGAACAAUUUUGACAUAAACAAAUAGCAUUAUUUGUGUUCUAAUACUAUUAGAACCCUUUUUUAUCUGUCUAAAAAUUUACCAGACAACGAUCACAUUAACAACACUCUGAUGUGUUGAUCAAACCUAUCAUUUACACAUCAACUUAAUUUCUAUAUAAGAAAGUAAUUUGAUUGUUAUUUUUUAUAAGAUAGCACAUUGAUGUAAAUUUUAUAUUAAAUUUUUACUUUUAAAAGUCUUUUGUUAAUAUUUUGUU